GACGAACGCUGGCGGCGUGCUUAACACAUGCAACUCGAACGGAAAGGCCCUGCUUUUGUGGGGUGCUCGAGUGGCGAACGGGGGAGUAACACGUGAGUAACCUUCCCUUGACUUUGGGAUAACUUCAGGAAACUGGGGCUAAUACCGGAUAGGAGCUCCUGCUGCAUGGUGGGGGUUGGAAAGUUUCGGCGGUUGGGGAUGGACUCGCGGCUUAUCAGCUUGUUGGUGGGGUAGUGGCUUACCAAGGCUUUGACGGGUAGCGGGCCUGAGAGGGUGACCGGCCACAUUGGGACUGAGAUACGGCCCAGACUCCUACGGGAGGCAGCAGUGGGGAAUAUUGCACAAUGGGCGGAAGCCUGAUGCAGCAACGCCGCGUGCUGGAUGACGGCCUUCGGGUUGUAAACCGCUUUCGCCUGUGACGAAGCGUGAGUGACGGUAAUGGGUAAAGAAGCACCGGCUAACUACGUG
This 468-nucleotide ribosomal RNA is filed under the name uncultured bacterium. RNAcentral describes it as "partial 16S ribosomal RNA". It matches the Rfam family "Bacterial small subunit ribosomal RNA", at positions 28 to 507 of the family's 1533-position model. The record is from RNAcentral.